GACGUAGGGCGCGAGCGUUGUCCGGAUUUAUUGGGCGUAAAGAGCUCGUAGGCGGCUUGUCGCGUCGACUGUGAAAACUUGGGGCUCAACCCCAAGCUUGCAGUCGAUACGGGCAGGCUAGAGUUCGGUAGGGGAGACUGGAAUUCCUGGUGUAGCGGUGAAAUGCGCAGAUAUCAGGAGGAACACCGGUGGCGAAGGCGGCUACCUGGACAGAAACUGACGCUGAGGCGCGAAAGCUAGGGGAGCAAACAGG
RNAcentral lists this ribosomal RNA (253 nucleotides) under uncultured bacterium. Its description in RNAcentral is "partial 16S ribosomal RNA". It matches the Rfam family "Bacterial small subunit ribosomal RNA", at positions 524 to 776 of the family's 1533-position model. The record is from RNAcentral.